CCUACGGGGGGCAGCAGUGGGGAAUAUUGGGCAAUGGGCGCAAGCCUGACCCAGCAACGCCGCGUGAAGGAAGAAGGCUUUCGGGUUGUAAACUUCUUUUCUGAGGGACGAAGAAAGUGACGGUACCGCAGGAAUAAGCCACGGCUAACUACGUGCCGGAAGCCGCGGUAAUACGUAGGUGGCAAGCGUUAUCCGGAUUUAUUGGGUGUAAAGGGCGUGGAGGCGGGAAAGCAAGGCAGAUGUGAAAACUCAGGGCUCAACCCUGAGCCUGCAUUUGAAACUGUUUUUCUUGAGUGCUGGAGCGGCCAUCGCAAUUCCGUGUGUAGCGGUGAAAUGCGUAGAUAUACGGAGGAACACCAGUGGCGACGGCGGAUUGCUGGACAGUAACUGACGCUGAGGCGCGAACGCGUGGGGAGCAAACAGGAUUAGAUACCCGUGUAGUC
This 443-nucleotide ribosomal RNA is filed under the name uncultured bacterium. Its description in RNAcentral is "partial 16S ribosomal RNA". It matches the Rfam family "Bacterial small subunit ribosomal RNA", at positions 338 to 795 of the family's 1533-position model. The record is from RNAcentral.